Molecule: ribosomal RNA, 1451 nt
Filed under: uncultured organism
Description: SSU rRNA
Rfam family: Bacterial small subunit ribosomal RNA
Source: RNAcentral
GCUGGCGGCAGGCCUAACACAUGCAAGUCGAGCGGUAGCACAGAGAGCUUGCUCUCGGGUGACGAGCGGCGGACGGGUGAGUAAUGUCUGGGAAACUGCCUGAUGGAGGGGGAUAACUACUGGAAACGGUAGCUAAUACCGCAUAAUGUCGCAAGACCAAAGUGGGGGACCUUCGGGCCUCAUGCCAUCAGAUGUGCCCAGAUGGGAUUAGCUAGUAGGUGGGGUAACGGCUCACCUAGGCGACGAUCCCUAGCUGGUCUGAGAGGAUGACCAGCCACACUGGAACUGAGACACGGUCCAGACUCCUACGGGAGGCAGCAGUGGGGAAUAUUGCACAAUGGGCGCAAGCCUGAUGCAGCCAUGCCGCGUGUGUGAAGAAGGCCUUCGGGUUGUAAAGCACUUUCAGCGGGGAGGAAGGCGUUAAGGUUAAUAACCUUGGCGAUUGACGUUACCCGCAGAAGAAGCACCGGCUAACUCCGUGCCAGCAGCCGCGGUAAUACGGAGGGUGCAAGCGUUAAUCGGAAUUACUGGGCGUAAAGCGCACGCAGGCGGUCUGUCAAGUCGGAUGUGAAAUCCCCGGGCUCAACCUGGGAACUGCAUUCGAAACUGGCAGGCUAGAGUCUUGUAGAGGGGGGUAGAAUUCCAGGUGUAGCGGUGAAAUGCGUAGAGAUCUGGAGGAAUACCGGUGGCGAAGGCGGCCCCCUGGACAAAGACUGACGCUCAGGUGCGAAAGCGUGGGGAGCAAACAGGAUUAGAUACCCUGGUAGUCCACGCCGUAAACGAUGUCGAUUUGGAGGUUGUGCCCUUGAGGCGUGGCUUCCGGAGCUAACGCGUUAAAUCGACCGCCUGGGGAGUACGGCCGCAAGGUUAAAACUCAAAUGAAUUGACGGGGGCCCGCACAAGCGGUGGAGCAUGUGGUUUAAUUCGAUGCAACGCGAAGAACCUUACCUGGUCUUGACAUCCACAGAACUUAGCAGAGAUGCUUUGGUGCCUUCGGGAACUGUGAGACAGGUGCUGCAUGGCUGUCGUCAGCUCGUGUUGUGAAAUGUUGGGUUAAGUCCCGCAACGAGCGCAACCCUUAUCCUUUGUUGCCAGCGGUUAGGCCGGGAACUCAAAGGAGACUGCCAGUGAUAAACUGGAGGAAGGUGGGGAUGACGUCAAGUCAUCAUGGCCCUUACGACCAGGGCUACACACGUGCUACAAUGGCAUAUACAAAGAGAAGCGACCUCGCGAGAGCAAGCGGACCUCAUAAAGUAUGUCGUAGUCCGGAUUGGAGUCUGCAACUCGACUCCAUGAAGUCGGAAUCGCUAGUAAUCGUAGAUCAGAAUGCUACGGUGAAUACGUUCCCGGGCCUUGUACACACCGCCCGUCACACCAUGGGAGUGGGUUGCAAAAGAAGUAGGUAGCUUAACCUUCGGGAGGGCGCUUACCACUUUGUGAUUCAUGACUGG